RNAcentral lists this ribosomal RNA (253 nucleotides) under uncultured bacterium. RNAcentral describes it as "partial 16S ribosomal RNA". It matches the Rfam family "Bacterial small subunit ribosomal RNA", at positions 524 to 776 of the family's 1533-position model. The record is from RNAcentral.
GACGUAGGGCGCGAGCGUUGUCCGGAUUUAUUGGGCGUAAAGAGCGUGUAGGCGGCCAGGUAGGUCAGCUGUGAAAACUCGAGGCUCAACCUCGAGACGUCGGUUGAAACCACCUGGCUAGAGUCCGGAAGAGGAGAGUGGAAUUCCUGGUGUAGCGGUGAAAUGCGCAGAUAUCAGGAAGAACACCCGUGGCGAAGGCGGCUCUCUGGGACGGUACUGACGCUGAGACGCGAAAGCGUGGGGAGCAAACAGG